RNAcentral lists this ribosomal RNA (448 nucleotides) under uncultured bacterium. RNAcentral's name for it is "partial 16S ribosomal RNA". It matches the Rfam family "Bacterial small subunit ribosomal RNA", at positions 28 to 507 of the family's 1533-position model. The record is from RNAcentral.
AACGAACGCUGGCGGCAGGCUUAGCACAUGCAAGUCGAGCGAGGGCUUCGGCCCUAGCGGCGGACGGGUGAGUAACGCGUGGGAACGUGCCCUUCUCUCUGGAAUAGCCCUGGGAAACCGGGAGUAAUGCCGGAUACGCCCUCGGGGCAUGGCUCUUCGUGGGGAAAGAUUUAUCGGGGAAGGAUUGGCUCGUGUCGGAUUAGGUAGUUGGUGGGGUAACGGCCUACCAAGUCGACGAUCCGUAGCUGGUUUGAGAGGAUGAUCAGCCACACUGGGACUGAGACACGGCCCAGACUCCUACGGGAAGCAGCAGUGGGGAAUCUUGGACAAUGGGGGCAACCCUGAUCCAGCCAUGCCGCGUGAGCGAUGAAGGCCUUAGGGUUGUAAAGCUCUUUCAGCGGGGAAGAUAAUGACGGUACCCGCAGAAGAAGCCCCGGCUAACUCCGUG